RNAcentral lists this ribosomal RNA (253 nucleotides) under uncultured bacterium. RNAcentral describes it as "partial 16S ribosomal RNA". It matches the Rfam family "Bacterial small subunit ribosomal RNA", at positions 524 to 776 of the family's 1533-position model. The record is from RNAcentral.
UACGAAGGGGGCGAGCGUUGUUCGGAUUUACUGGGCGUAAAGGGCUCGUAGGCGGCCAACUAAGUCAUACGUGAAAUCCCUUAGCUUAACUGGGGAACUGCGUGUGAUACUGGAUGGCUUGGAUUUGGGAGAGGGAUGCGGAAUUCCAGGUGUAGCGGUGAAAUGCGUAGAUAUCUGGAGGAACACCGGUGGCGAAGGCGGCAUCCUGGACCAACAUUGACGCUGAGGAGCGAAGGCCAGGGGAGCAAACGGG